CGUUUUGCAGGGUCAGCAUUCAGUCUGGAUCAUGUUCUGCUGUGCAAACCCAUGCAAAACUGA
RNAcentral lists this microRNA precursor (63 nucleotides) under Microcaecilia unicolor. RNAcentral describes it as "Mun-Mir-19-P2d_pre stem-loop". The record is from RNAcentral. Lineage: Eukaryota; Metazoa; Chordata; Amphibia; Gymnophiona; Siphonopidae.